AACAACACCACAGUGACAAAGCAAGGACAUGGCUGUGAAACAACAGAGGAUAACUACAUCCGAUUUGUGGACAUGGUCGAUAUAAAAGCACAUUUCAAAGCAAUUUUGUACAUCUUAAGGAUGUUGACUAUGAUUAUUUUUUGUUGUAGACAUAUCAGGGUCAUAUAUCAGGAAGAUUGCUCGCACUAAAAUGAUAAGAAUUCAUAGUUUUGCUAGUUGCUAUUUCAAACAAAAUACCAAAAAA
Molecule: long non-coding RNA, 244 nt
Organism: Stegastes partitus (bicolor damselfish)
Lineage: Eukaryota; Metazoa; Chordata; Actinopteri; Pomacentridae
Exons: 3
Source: RefSeq, a predicted model, not a curated record